UUCAGACAAGGCAGAUUCUAAAUUCUCUGCUCUCUUCUAUAAAGCUCCCCGCUUGAUAUAUCAUGAUUUCCAAAGGGAUCAAUAACCUUCAAGUACAUGAAAUAGGCAAUGGAGCCCUCCCUAUUUCUUUCCCCCAAAUUUAACAUAUAGUCUCUUCUACUGAUUUUCACAUGGGCUCAAGGUUCUGUGCCAUACUGGUCACCCUCCCUGGAGGAUAUAGCUUUCCAAUAUCCCUUUUGAAAGCUGUUUUCCCGAACUGAUCAAAACACUCCAAAUAAGGAUUCUGUAAACUUAAAAAAAUUAUAACUAUUUCAACCGAAUUGUUUUUAUCUGUAGGGAAGGAGAAAGCAGUAUUUGUAUUACUAUGUACCAGGUACUGUAUUAAGUGCUUUACAAUUAUUAUCUCAUUUGAUCCUGACGACAACCUUGAGAGGAUUUUGAGAAGGGUUCAGAGAUUUCACCAGACUGGCUGAUAAAGAGAUCCUUGCCACAUAAAAGGCUGGGAACCCUUCCACUUAGAUGGAGUCUGACCCAGAAAUCUAUACACAAAAGAUACCAGAAGAUGUGGAAGUGGUUGCCAUAGGAAAGGCUGGACCAGUCCCUGCCCAUCAGCCGUGAGUCUUGCAUACAUCUUUCCUUAAGCAAUUUAUGGGACUGUUUAAAAACUAGGAAGGUUCGGCCCUCUCUGUCCCUUCUCAAUCAACCCAGUAAAAGCACAAAGAGAGCAAAGAAGAUUGAGGACAGAUGGGUCUUUUUCUUGUCUCCUAGUUUCCCGUGGCUAAUGCAUCCAACACCAACUAGGCAUCUACCACCUUUAGCCUGGCUGGGCUUUGGAAAGCAGAAAUCAUCCCUGCACAGAUUUGACUUGAAUCCUUUCUGACUCGGUAUGACCCUCCAGAAAGUGGGCUCUAUUGACAUGGCCUAUGAGAUCGCAGAACCACAUUUGUGUCACAAGAAGCUCAGAGGAAGAUCUGGGGAGGAAGUUUACAGUAAAAAAAAAAAAAAUCCCAGUGGGAAUGAUCAGGCCCUGAUCACCUCUCACCUGGAAUAUUGUAAUAAACUCUUAAUUGAUUUCCUUCCUUCCAGCCUCUCCCCACUCCAAUUCAUGUUUCCUUGCUCUGCCCAAGUUUUUCCCUAAACCACAUAGCUGACCCAUCACUCUUCUGCUCCAUACCCACUGUGGCUCCCUAUUACAUUCAGGACCAAAACUACAUCUCCUCACUUUGUAUUUUCAAAACCAACAGAAGCAACUCCCAUCCUGCCUUUCUAACAUGAGUUAUUACAUUCUAUCCAUGUUAUUUCCUGCAAUGAUUAACCUAAAUUGGUCUCAUCUCCGAGUUCCUUCCCAGUUUCAUUUAGGUCUAAAUUCCAAUUCUGCUUCUCGCUCUCUACGUGAUCUUGAACAAGUCAUUGAACUUCUAAAGGAAAUGCUUCAAAUCCAAAAUAGAAACACAUUAGUUUAUUCCCCUGAUUUUUAAAAGGAGAGAAGUGAGAUCAGAGAGAGAGUAACUUGGCUAAGAUAACACAACCGAUAAGUAGCAAUGCAGGAUCUAGGGAUGGGGAGAGAGCUAGUUUGCCUGGGGAACUCCAGGAGAAAUAUGAGCAAUGUUUCUGCUGAUUCUUGAUGGGAAAGCCAUCAAACCUCCUCUCUACCCCUGAGGUCCAUGACUGUUAUUCAGUCAAAAAACAGAAAAACAAAAAACACGGCCUUGGCUACAGGAUUCUCUAGGAAUUCAACGAUAAAAGCAAUAUAUUAGAGCUGGGGCAUCUAGUCCAACUCUUUCAUUUUCCAAAUGAGGGCCUCCUCCAGGAAGUCUGCCCUGAUUCCCUUUGGCAAUAACAGCCUUGGCCCUCAGACCUCACAAGGUGAUUGUUGCUAUUCCUCUCAAAUAGACUUCUAUAAUAUCACUUAUUAUGUAUUAGUGUUGCCUGGGAAACGCUGACAAUGAGAAGAGAGAAAUAGAGCUAUUGCUUCUUUCCAUUUCCAUCUUAGUACCUUUGUUUCUGUUGGUACCUUCUCUAUCUGGAAGCCAUAUCCCCAUCAAAACACCCCAAGGUGAGGGGUGAGCAGGGCAGUUGCCAUGAGUAGGAAACUUAGCCCGAUUGGAUGUCAGCACCCCGGGACACAGCUCCAUUGGCCUUGUACUAGUUAUGGUUCCACUGGGUUUCUUCAUUUGCUUUGAAGAGGCUGCCCUGGUGUACUGAAAGAAAAGCCUGUAGUUCAAGGCUCUGUGAGUGUUGGUUUAUCCCUUGCUCUAUCCGGGCUUCAGUUCUGCUUCUAUAAAACAAAGUUGAACAAGCUCUGAACUCUAUGACACUGUUUCCCCUCUUUGCCUUAUGAUGGAAAGGGAAGCUCUGGAAGCUAGGAAACAUUGGUCAUGGUGUCAUAAUGAAAGGGGGUUUGGUCUUACCUUUUACUAAUGGGGGAAAAAAGUCCAAGAAAGAAGACAGAAACUUCUGAUAUUUCAUAAAAUCUAGAAUCUCCAAAUUGUAAGGACCCUUAGAAGGCAUCCAUUCUAAACUAUUAUUGAACAGGAAUCCUUUCACUCAAACCAGCAAUCUAUAAACAUUUAUGAAAUACAAAGGGCUCUGCUUUGUGCAGGGGGUUCGGGGACAAAGAACAAAAUAACGGGAGAUAAUAUACAAAUAUAGUCAUUAUAACCAGAAUGUGUCUGGGUGUCUGUUUAACAAUCAACUCUCUGGCUUGCAUUUUAUUUUGCUUCUCUUUUUUUCUUGUGUGAC
Long non-coding RNA from Sarcophilus harrisii (Tasmanian devil), 2742 nucleotides. RefSeq lists it as uncharacterized. The record is from RefSeq and is a predicted model, not a curated record. Lineage: Eukaryota; Metazoa; Chordata; Mammalia; Dasyuromorphia; Dasyuridae. The transcript is spliced from 3 exons.